AUGCGAUAUUGGUUCAUUGAUGUGAUAUCUAUAACAAUAGUAAAGGACAAGGAGAAGGCGUGGACGCGAAAAGAGCACGUGAAGGCACAGUCAUGGCGCUAACUGCCAACGGCGCCAACGCGUGCAGGCACUCCCGGCUGCCUCGCCGUUAUUCUGGACACCUCCACACUGCCUGACCAAGCGCGAAUGAUCGACCAGUUGGGGCAUAACUUGGUCACGUACUUGUCCACGUUGGCAACUAUAGGCGGCGUCUCGCAAGUCACGGCGAAACUCCUUCAGCAAGCGGUGGACCUGCAUCUCGAAAUCAAGGCAGCUCUGGCCGUGGCUACCACAGGAUCACCCCUAGCAUACAUAACGGCACCCGCCAUGACUACUACCAAGGCAAACCUUGUGGUCAUCCGCGGACUGAGCUCGCAAGCGUUUGGCGAUGCAGUAGCGGCCAAGACGCCUUACCCUCGCGACGCCGCAAUAGAUCUCGACCAGCGGGUUCCGUCGUCCUUGGAAAAUGUCUUCGGCAAGAUCACAUCGCAAGAGUUGUAUCUGUGGACCAGCUGGAGCGUCCUGGGCGAGCUAGCCCGCCACGUGGACCCCUGGAUUUCCCGGGAACAGCCCUAUGGCUCACUUGUCUGCGUCAAAAGGGUUAAACACAUCAUGGCCGUACCUCUGGCAGCAACUGCAUUCCGUCACAGUGUCGAUGCAACAAAUUUCAUGACGAAAUUAACCGACGUCCUCGUGCACUGCUUUGCGACAAACGCUUCGCGCUGGCUUCGCCGUCCUGGCCUGGCCACCGUAGUCGUCGGUUUCCCUCCCAGCGAGGACACCAUCGAGAAGCUCGACAAGCAAUACGACGCAUAUCCGAAGCACGUAAUAGGGAGGAACGACUUCUUGACGGAUUGGGUGCAAGCCGCCAAGGCGAGGAAACAACACAUUAACACGUCCGCCGUUCACUUCGACCCAUCGGUAGUCGACGUCAUAGUGUCUCGAGACGGGCUGGUUAUAGUACCGGAGGCCACUUCUUACCUCCUGUACGACAGCGAUUCCCCGACCUCGUUCUUGUUUGGCAACAUUGGUCACAUGAUCGCCAGACGCUUCGUUCAAAGGAUGUUCUUGCCCACGGCACGGCCGGAUGCCCAAUGCGUUCCACCGGACGCGUCGAAGGCGGCGGGCGUUUUCGAGAAUCUGCUGGCGUACCAGUGCGCCAGACACGUCUUCGCCGUCGAGCUCCAGCGCAACGCCAGCGCAGCAUUGUGGCUGCCCAUGCACUUGCGCCUUACUCCGCAGAGGCAGUUCUUCACCUUCGGGUGUUUGAAGGCGACGCACGACCAUCCUGCCGCUCCGCUUUGUGCUGCUCGCGCAAGCCGCCGUGCUGCUGCUGUUCUGCAGCAUCCGGUGCGCGGCGUUGAACGACGAGGAGCGCGCAAACAUCGUCCAGCUGCACAACCAGAUACGAAAUUCGGUGGCCAUGGGCAAGGAGAAGAAAUGGCCGGCCGCGUCUGACAUGCUGCAGAUGAGCUACAGUCUACAUUUGGAGGAGCUCGCCAAGACCCACUUAUCGAACUGCGUGUUUGAGCCUGGCUGUAUAGGCUGCCACAUCGGUCUCGACAACCGGCCGGGACAGAACUUGUACGCCAUGGCUGGUCCUGCCA
This 1646-nucleotide unclassified non-coding RNA is filed under the name Dermacentor andersoni. Its description in RNAcentral is "uncharacterized LOC126531215". Lineage: Eukaryota; Metazoa; Arthropoda; Arachnida; Ixodida; Ixodidae. The record is from RNAcentral.